ACCCUCUGAAGAGGGUCUGGAUAGGUAACGGCUCAUAUUAAGUUGGGCAAUGUUGAAAUGAGUGUGAUUAACAGGAAGCAAAACUAGGUAGUGGACUCACAACAGACUGGUAAGGACAGAUGAGGAGGAGAACGAAAGCGGAAGCCAGCCAGUUUGCUGAGCCAAGAGGGAGGGACAGAGAGUGGGAUGGGGACAUCAUCCAAGCCAAAGAAGAACAGGCUGGAAAAGGAGGUCACAGGAACAGCAGAGACUACUACCAUUAGUCCUGAAACAGAAGGUACAGACCGUCAGGAACGCACAACGGUGAAACUAGGGACCUCGAAUCCCAUGGUGAAUCCCAUGCAGCACCCAGGUCUGCACAAUGCUGCAUCCGGUCUGUGGAGCCCCGUUGCCCUCCUCCUGUCCUGUGUCCUCCUUCAGGGGGGCAUGUAUUUCAUGUAGAAGGAGAAGGCUGCUGGGAGUCUUUGGAUGGGGUUUGGGAAGAGGUAAUUGGAAGAAAAAUAAAUGAAUAACCUGG
Molecule: RNA transcript, 517 nt
Organism: Condylura cristata (star-nosed mole)
Lineage: Eukaryota; Metazoa; Chordata; Mammalia; Eulipotyphla; Talpidae
Gene name: chromosome unknown open reading frame, human C1orf54
Exons: 4
Source: RefSeq, a predicted model, not a curated record